This 722-nucleotide ribosomal RNA is filed under the name uncultured bacterium. RNAcentral's name for it is "bacterial SSU rRNA". It matches the Rfam family "Bacterial small subunit ribosomal RNA", at positions 33 to 723 of the family's 1533-position model. The record is from RNAcentral.
ACGCUGGCGGCGUGCCUAAUACAUGCAAGUCGAGCGAGCGGAACCAGCAGAAUCACUUCGGUGAGGACGCUGGGAAAGUGAGCGGCGGAUGGGCGAGUAACACGUGGGGAACCUGCCCUUAAGUCUGGGAUACCACUUGGAAACAGGUGCUAAUACCGGAUAAGAAAGCAGUUCGCAUGAACAGCUUUUAAAAGGCGGCGCAAGCUGUCGCUAAAGGAUGGACCCGCGGUGCAUUAGCUAGUUGGUAAGGUAACGGCCUACCAAGGCAGUGAUGCAUAGCCGAGUUGAGAGACUGAUCGGCCACAUUGGGACUGAGACACGGCCCAAACUCCUACGGGAGGCAGCAGUAGGGAAUCUUCCACAAUGGACGCAAGUCUGAUGGAGCAACGCCGCGUGAGUGAAGAAGGUUUUCGGACCGUAAAGCUCUGUUGUUGGUGAAGAAGGAUAGAGGUAGUAACUGGCCUUUAUUAGACGGUAAUCAACCAGAAAGUCACGGCUAACUACGUGCCAGCAGCCGCGGUAAUACGUAGGUGGCAAGCGUUGUCCGGAUUUAUUGGGCGUAAAGCGAGCGCAGGCGGAAGAAUAAGUCUGAUGUGAAAGCCCUCGGCUUAACCGAGGAAUUGCAUCGGAAACUGUUUUUCUUGAGUGCAGAAGAGGAGAGUAGAACUCCAUGUGUAGCGGUGGAAUGCGUAGAUAUAGGAAGAAUACCAGUGGCGAAGGCG